This 822-nucleotide long non-coding RNA is filed under the name Nicotiana benthamiana. RNAcentral's name for it is "long non-coding RNA (NBEN_LNC012406)". The record is from RNAcentral. Lineage: Eukaryota; Viridiplantae; Streptophyta; Magnoliopsida; Solanales; Solanaceae.
GAUUUGGAAGACCUAUUCCUAGAUCAGAUGAUUGGAUUUUAUGAAAAUGAUGCUAAAUCUUAUUCUAUCACUAGUUUCACUAGAAUUACCAUGCAGCACGGGCCUAGUAUUUCACGAACUCCAAUGUCAUUACGUGUUCCUCGCCCUGCUAGUACAGCUGGAUUUCGUGCUGCAACAUCUUCUAGUAGAUUGUUCUGUCAUGGCAUCCUUCUAGAUAUGGCCCCAGUUGCAUAUCUAGUGUCUCAUUCUUCCUUGAAGUAGAACCAAUGUUUCUGUUGAAUAUAAUGUAUGUAUUAGCAAAAUUUUUAGAUGCAUAGAACUAUUUAGAACAGCUACCUUCCCCCAACCCCCAUGGCCCCAUGUUCUUGAACUCCAUGUUCAUAAAAAAAAAAGCAUGCAAUAGUUGAAUCUUAUUUUCUGCUUACUUUGAAAAUUUUCUUAGUUUGUGCAGUCUCCCUUCCCUAUUUUUGUUUCUUGUUCAAGUUAAUUUUUAGUGAAAUUCAUUGAAAAGAUAUAUGACCCCAAAUUCUUGUUAGACAAAAAUUCUCAAACCACAUAGAGAUCAAAUCAAAAUGCCAAAGGUUCAGAGUACAAAGAAAUCAGAGUAACCUUCAUCUUCCAUUUAGGUUUCUCAAGCUGUGAACAGAGGAUGCAGCUCAAUUGGUUUUGGAGCGAUCUUUUCGACUUCUGGCCAUUGGUUUUGGAAAAUUUCUAAGUUUCAACUUUCAAGCAGAGUGAGGAGAGAACUCUAGUGUGAAUUGUGGGACGGCGAUGAUGUUGAGGAUGAAUUGUCGAAUUCAACAUUCAUCGCGUGGAGAUUGU